This is a long non-coding RNA of Patiria miniata (bat star), 350 nucleotides long. RefSeq lists it as uncharacterized. The transcript is spliced from 5 exons. NCBI's taxonomy places the organism in Eukaryota, Metazoa, Echinodermata, Asteroidea, Valvatida, Asterinidae. The record is from RefSeq and is a predicted model, not a curated record.
GUUGAAAUAGUGAAAGACAAAACCCAAUACCAGAAAUUCACGAAGGGACAAGGCCGAAUAUCAGUGGAGUUGAAGUAGUGAAAGACAAAACCCAAUACCAGAAAUUCAAGAAGGGACAAGGCCGAAUAUCAGUGGAGUUGAAGUAAUGAAAGACAAAACCCAAUCCCACAAAUUCAAGAAGGGACAAGGCCGAAUAUCAGUGAAGUUGAAGUAGUGAAAGACAAAACCCAAUACCAGAAAUUCAAGAAGGGACAAGGCCGAAUAUCAUUUCAGCAUUGUCAUCAAUUCUUGUUCCCUGGCCUCAAAGUGACCGACUUGACUGGAAAGGUUGCGGAUGAUGGAAUUCAAUU